ACUCAAAGGAAUAGACGGGGGCCCGCACAAGCAGCGGAGCAUGUGGUUUAAUUCGAAGCAACGCGAAGAACCUUACCAGGUCUUGACAUCCAGGUAAACUUGCAGAGAUGCAAGGUGUGCUUGCACAAUCUGAGACAGGUGGUGCAUGGUUGUCGUCAGCUCGUGUCGUGAGAUGUUGGGUUAAGUCCCGCAACGAGCGCAACCCUUGUGAUUAGUUACUAACGGGUAAAGCCGAGGACUCUAAUAAGACUGCCGGGGACAACUCGGAGGAAGGUGGGGACGACGUCAAAUCAUCAUGCCCCUUAUGACCUGGGCUACACACGUGCUACAAUGGCCACGACAGAGAGCAGCGAUACCGUAAGGGGGAGCUAAUCUCAUAAAAGUGGUCCCAGUUCGGAUUGUGGGCUGCAACCCGCCCACAUGAAGUCGGAGUUGCUAGUAAUCGCGGAUCAGCAUGCCGCGGUGAAUACGUUCCCGGGCCUUGCACACACCGCCCGU
RNAcentral lists this ribosomal RNA (498 nucleotides) under uncultured bacterium. RNAcentral describes it as "bacterial SSU rRNA". It matches the Rfam family "Bacterial small subunit ribosomal RNA", at positions 899 to 1397 of the family's 1533-position model. The record is from RNAcentral.